This 253-nucleotide ribosomal RNA is filed under the name uncultured bacterium. Its description in RNAcentral is "partial 16S ribosomal RNA". It matches the Rfam family "Bacterial small subunit ribosomal RNA", at positions 524 to 776 of the family's 1533-position model. The record is from RNAcentral.
UACGGAGGGAGCUAGCGUUGUUCGGAAUUACUGGGCGUAAAGCGCACGUAGGCGGCUUUUUAAGUCAGGGGUGAAAUCCCGGGGCUCAACCCCGGAACUGCCCUUGAUACUGGAAAGCUAGAAUCUUGGAGAGGCGAGUGGAAUUCCGAGUGUAGAGGUGAAAUUCGUAGAUAUUCGGAAGAACACCAGUGGCGAAGGCGACUCGCUGGACAAGUAUUGACGCUGAGGUGCGAAAGCGUGGGGAGCAAACAGG